CCUACGGGAGGCAGCAGUGAGGAAUAUUGGUCAAUGGACGAGAGUCUGAACCAGCCAAGUAGCGUGAAGGAUGACUGCCCUAUGGGUUGUAAACUUCUUUUAUAUGGGAAUAAAAUGUUCCACGUGUGGGAUUUUGUAUGUACCAUAUGAAUAAGGAUCGGCUAACUCCGUGCCAGCAGCCGCGGUAAUACGGAGGAUCCGAGCGUUAUCCGGAUUUAUUGGGUUUAAAGGGAGCGUAGGUGGAUUGUUAAGUCAGUUGUGAAAGUUUGCGGCUCAACCGUAAAAUUGCAGUUGAAACUGGCAGUCUUGAGUACAGUAGAGGUGGGCGGAAUUCGUGGUGUAGCGGUGAAAUGCUUAGAUAUCACGAAGAACUCCGAUUGCGAAGGCAGUUCACUGGACUGCAACUGACACUGAGGCUCGAAAGUAUGGGUAUCAAACAGGAUUAGAUACCCCUGUAGUC
This 460-nucleotide ribosomal RNA is filed under the name uncultured bacterium. RNAcentral's name for it is "partial 16S ribosomal RNA". It matches the Rfam family "Bacterial small subunit ribosomal RNA", at positions 338 to 795 of the family's 1533-position model. The record is from RNAcentral.